AGCUGGAAAGAUGGCCUCGCAUUGUGCGCCCUCAUCCACAGACACAGGCCUGACCUCAUCGAUUACUCUAAACUUAGAAAGGAUGAUCCCAUUGGAAACUUAAACCAGGCCUUUGAAGUCGCUGAAAAAUACCUGGAUAUUCCCAAAAUGUUGGACGCUGAAGACAUUGUUAACACACCAAAGCCGGACGAGAAAGCCAUCAUGACCUACGUCUCAUGUUUCUACCACGCUUUCGCUGGAGCUGAGCAGGCCGAGACUGCAGCCAAUCGGAUUUGCAAAGUGCUCGCAGUGAACCAGGAGAAUGAGAAACUGAUGGAGGAGUACGAAAAACUCGCGAGUGAGGU
Molecule: non-coding RNA, 344 nt
Organism: Chiloscyllium plagiosum (whitespotted bambooshark)
Lineage: Eukaryota; Metazoa; Chordata; Chondrichthyes; Orectolobiformes; Hemiscylliidae
Source: RefSeq, a predicted model, not a curated record